RNAcentral lists this ribosomal RNA (427 nucleotides) under uncultured bacterium. RNAcentral describes it as "partial 16S ribosomal RNA". It matches the Rfam family "Bacterial small subunit ribosomal RNA", at positions 355 to 774 of the family's 1533-position model. The record is from RNAcentral.
UGGGGAAUAUUGCACAAUGGGCGCAAGCCUGAUGCAGCCAUGCCGCGUGUAUGAAGAAGGCCUUCGGGUUGUAAAGUACUUUCAGCGGGGAGGCAGGUGUUGAGGUUAAUAACCUCAGCAAUUGACGUUACCCGCAGAAGAAGCACCGGCUAACUCCGUGCCAGCAGCCGCGGUAAUACGGAGGGUGCAAGCGUUAAUCGGAAUUACUGGGCGUAAAGCGCACGCAGGCGGUCUGUCAAGUCGGAUGUGAAAUCCCCGGGCUCAACCUGGGAACUGCAUUCGAAACUGGCAGGCUAGAGUCUUGUAGAGGGGGGUAGAAUUCCAGGUGUAGCGGUGAAAUGCGUAGAGAUCUGGAGGAAUACCGGUGGCGAAGGCGGCCCCCUGGACAAAGACUGACGCUCAGGUGCGAAAGCGUGGGGAGCAAACA